GCUGGUAAAGUGGUUGUGUGCCUGACUGAACUCUUCUUUCACACAGCUUCGAUACAUGCCCUUAAUAUUUUUUAAAGCUAUUCCCUGACAAGGUUGGUCAUUACAGCGCUUGAAAACCCACCGCCCUUUUUUUCUUUCUUUUCAUCUGUGCAAAACCCAGGCACAAGGUUGGUCAUUACAGCGCUUGAAAACCCACCGCCCUUUUUUUCUUUCUUUUCAUCUGUGCAAAACCCAGGCAAACAGAUUUUUUGUGGUGUUUCUGCCGGCCAACGUCGGGCGUCGGCAACUGCUGGCAGUGGUUAAAUCCUGUUGAAGACGACGUAAUGGCGGGGUCCAACUUCAACAGCGGCGGCAAAAUAUGAACAUACUAGACCAACGGUGCCGGUUUCUCUGGUGAGAGAUCCGGAAGUUUUAGGGUUCCGACAAGGUCCGGUUAACUCCGGUGAUAACCAGGUACGCAUGUAUCCUUUUUAGUUAAAUCAGGUCUUCCAUGUUUUUACAUCUAUCAGGUUAGGCUUUUGGGUGUAGUUUGGGACUUCAAACUAAGAUUAGGGUUUAUGGAAACCUACAUGGCAGCGUAAGUGGAACACCGAAUUGAGGCACAAGUUCUGUAUGUUUUGUUACAGCGAGGUUACGUGUUAUUAAAAAAUAACUAACAAUUUUCAUUGUAGCUUGAUUUUGGGGUUUUAUAACCUACAUUGCACCAUUUGAACCUUUGAUGGGUUUUUGCAGAUUUAGAUACGGGCUCAGCAUAGUGGUUUGUUGAAUUGGUGCAUGUGUGAAGAAUUGAUGUUACUCUGUCCAGUUUGCAAGGGUUUUUGUACAGGUUUUAAAGGAAUGGAACGCGUUUGCUUGGUGGGAUGACCUUAAUUAUUAUAGCUCGGCAUAAAUUUGAGUUAAGGUAAUCUCUUAAACGACGACUUUGUUUGGAGAGUUUUACAUUGAUGUUAAAAGUUUACAUGUUAUGAUAGAAAAGAUGCUAUUGGAGAUGGUAGCAAUGUAGCAUGCGUGGGUGUGUGUGCCUUAUCAACUCAUGCUUGAAACUGGAACACAUCCUGGACUGCCAGUUAACUACAUUUUUGCGUAUGUAAACAGCGUAAUGAACUAGCAUAGACAAACUUGUAGCUAAAGGUAAAUUAUAUGCUACUGAACAUAGGCUUGCCUAUAUGUCCCAAGUUUUGUUCAUUGCGUUUAUAAACAACGCCGCAACGGAUUAAUGAUAGCAUAUUAUUAACCAGUUGAAUGCUUGCAGUCGUACCUAAAUGAAACUAGCUUGCAAUGUCGCGCAACGUGCGACGGCUAAUACCCCUAGUUAGAUAAAAAUAUUGACAGGGGUUUAGUUGGAGCAGAAACAAAAACAAAAACACAGCAUAAUCAACAUAAGCGAUGAAACAAUUGAGUAACCGUACCUUUGAAAUUGACAUUCAGAUGUUUGAUUUUGAGGGAUGACGUUCGCAUAGAUGAAGAGAUUUUGAUUCUUCAGGUUGUUCUUCAUGAUGGUGAUGCUUUUGUUAGAGAAGAGAAUGGAUAGAUUACGGUUGCUGGUGCUGGUGUGAUUCAAUACAAUUGAUUUGGGAAUGAUUUGGGGCUAGAAAGAGUGAGGGGAAUUGAAAUUGAUGAAACAUUCAGUUGGGGAUUUUUAUGGCGGUGAUUAUGAAUGAGGGAAUUCAAAAUGACAGUUUACUCCAAGAGUUAUUAGCAUUGAAAGAGAGACCAUUGAGUUGAUUGAAGAGAAGAACCGAAUGAGGGGCAGCUCCUUAAUAAUGUUGUUCUCUCUCCCGUAACUUUUCACAAUCUCAAUCUGACUUUUUGUUUCACUGAAAUAAAUAUAUGGUUUGGAUGGAAUCCUUAUAUUGCCCUUCUUCAAGUGUCUUAAAAGUUUGGAACUUGUCACAAUUUCCCCCCUUUAAAAUGGCUUGUU
This 1921-nucleotide long non-coding RNA is filed under the name Helianthus annuus (common sunflower). Its description in RNAcentral is "hypothetical non coding rna". The record is from RNAcentral. Lineage: Eukaryota; Viridiplantae; Streptophyta; Magnoliopsida; Asterales; Asteraceae.